Molecule: ribosomal RNA, 260 nt
Filed under: uncultured prokaryote
Description: partial 16S ribosomal RNA
Rfam family: Bacterial small subunit ribosomal RNA
Source: RNAcentral
UACGUAGGGUGCGAGCGUUGUCCGGAAUUACUGGGCGUAAAGAGCUCGUAGGUGGUUUGUAGCGUCGUCUGUGAAAUUCCGGGGCUUAACCUCGGGCGUGCAGGCGAUACGGGCAAUACUUGAGUGCUGUAGGGGAGACUGGAAUUCCUGGUGUAGCGGUGGAAUGCGCAGAUAUCAGGAGGAACACCGAUGGCGAAGGCAGGUCUCUGGGCAGUAACUGACGCUGAGAAGCGAAAGCAUGGGUAGCGAACAGGAUUAGA